Acanthosepion pharaonis is the source of this 85-nucleotide non-coding RNA. The record is from the annotation of a GenBank genome assembly. Lineage: Eukaryota; Metazoa; Mollusca; Cephalopoda; Sepiida; Sepiidae.
UUCCUGUACGAUCACUGAAGUUAAGCAAAGUUAAGUCUGGUUAGUACCUAGAUGGGUGACCGCUUGGGAAUACCAGGAGCUGUAA